Molecule: long non-coding RNA, 706 nt
Organism: Acanthochromis polyacanthus (spiny chromis)
Lineage: Eukaryota; Metazoa; Chordata; Actinopteri; Pomacentridae
Exons: 2
Source: RefSeq, a predicted model, not a curated record
CAGGAACCAAAUGCACACAGCUGAGAGAGACAGGCAACAGAGGCCAGGCUAAAUCUCUUGGAGCAGAUUUAAAACAUCUGGAACGAGGCUCUGACAGCCAGAGGAAAGAGAAAAACGUCCCGGGACGGUUGAUGCUCCAGCGCAGAGAAACCUGAGAGAAAAAGGGAUGAUGGGUGUGAGAAAACAGGGAGAGAGUUGGAUUACCGGUUCCUGUGGCUGCUUACCUGUUAAACCACCUCGUCUCCUCUCUACCUCGGCAUACCGCUGACUUCAGUUUCCAGCCCUGUCGUGGACCCACCCCAAGCAUCUCCAUCUUUGGUGUAUAAGUUUUUAGUCUUUUGGACUUUGAAAGAAAGUGUAGAGUUCUCCCCUUGUCUUCCCAGUAAUUGAUCGGAGUUUGAAUUACAGAAGAAAUUUCAGUGAGCCUUGUUGGCUUUGAAUCUUGUAGUUUGGUUAAAGUAAAGAAUUUGAGAUUGUAGUGACCGUUAUAGAACCUGAGUGACUUACAGCAUUUUCUCUGAGUAUUGAGUAAUUGAAGUUAAUGAGAGCCCAACAUUCGACGGCGUUUUCAGUUCAUCGAAUUUUCUUUCGUCAGCCACCAGUAGGUUUAGACAUUUACAGCCAGAGCUGUCGCUUUCAGUUUUUUCCUUAACCCUUUGUUUGUGUGUAGUAAUUCCGUUUCUUUAGAAUAAAAGCUUGUGUUGCA